Molecule: ribosomal RNA, 442 nt
Filed under: uncultured Acetobacteraceae bacterium
Lineage: Bacteria; Pseudomonadati; Pseudomonadota; Alphaproteobacteria; Acetobacterales; Acetobacteraceae
Description: bacterial SSU rRNA
Rfam family: Bacterial small subunit ribosomal RNA
Source: RNAcentral
ACCUACGGGAGGCAGCAGUGGGGAAUAUUGGACAAUGGGCGCAAGCCUGAUCCAGCAAUGCCGCGUGGGUGAAGAAGGUCUUCGGAUCGUAAAGCCCUUUCGGCGGGGACGAUGAUGACGGUACCCGCAGAAGAAGCCCCGGCUAACUUCGUGCCAGCAGCCGCGGUAAUACGAAGGGGGCUAGCGUUACUCGGAAUUACUGGGCGUAAAGGGCGCGUAGGCGGCGUUCCAAGUCAGGCGUGAAAGCCCUGGGCUCAACCUGGGGACUGCGCUUGAUACUGGAGUGCUUGAGGAUGGAAGAGGCUCGUGGAAGUCCCAGUGUAGAGGUGAAAUUCGUAGAUAUUGGGAAGAACACCGGUGGCGAAGGCGGCGAGCUGGUCCAUUACUGACGCUGAGGCGCGAUAGCGUGGGGAGCAAACAGGAUUAGAUACCCGAGUAGUCG